CUCGGGGUCUUUCUUGCUCAGACAAUUUUUUCGUGGGAAAACUCAACUGCACCUAGGUUCAUCAUGGGUCACCAAAAUUGCGUGCAUGUGAGUUUUAAUGCUAUAUGUACAGCUACAAUUUUCUAACAUUGCCACAGAACGACCCGGGCGGAAUGGUGGAAUCGGUGGGAGGGAUCUGAGGAGGGAAAGCCGGAAACGGCCAAUCCCUUCACGAAGUGGAAUCACGUGACCGGGUUCCAAGACUCAAGCCGAAAUAUCGAUCCACCCCAAGCUGUCCCGACCUCUGCAAUGUGGUGGAACAAGAUUUGAGACGACGGAUUGUACGAUGCCAGACCUCUUAUUUUAUCGUGUGUUGGCGUGGAGCAAAAGAAGGAUUAACAAUAGCACUUUUGCGAUAUCUAAUCUGACUUCAAACAUUGAGCUUGAGGGCAUUGUCGAACUUUGCUACAUUUGUAAAGAACAUGUGUUCUUUGUCCAAUGAGUUGGAUUGGAGCAAGUUUUCCCUUUUCUUCAUGUGCUCGAUUUUUAAGAGCUAAGGCUAACGACUCCAUGAAAAGAAUUUGCCAGAGAAACGUUGCUGAAGAAGGGGCUGAAGGGGUGCAUUUAUUCGGGAAGUCGUUGUCACGGUGAGGGUUUGGAUGGCCAUCGCCGCAGCAGUCGUGGCUUCUUGCACUCUUCUUGUUUCAGCCGUGGCUCCAUGCAUCAUCAUCAUCAUCAUCAUCAUCCGCAACUUCAGAGUUCAAACUUCAGACGGAGAGAGACCCCUGGAUGUGUGCUCACUCAGAAACAAAAGAACCAUCGUGGAUGAAGUUAAAUAUCGUGUCAUCACCUUGUCCCUGCACGGCUCCACUCCAAAUUGAGACGAAAGAAGAUUUAAGGCAUUGCCCAAUGUCUUUCUUGGCUCGGAAAAAUGAACGUGACAAUCUUGGAGAUGUUUCCCAACACUUCAUCCAUCAAUCUCUACCCCAAUCUGUAUCAAGAAAUGUCAAGUCUCUACCUACAUACUGCAGUGUAGUGUACAGGGUGCUUCAAAAGAAUCCAAACAGCAAACCACGUGUAUGGUAUGGUUAGCCUCACAAAAGAUCUGGUCUAGCUCAACAAGAUGUGGCAGAGACCAAUGUUGGGAUACAUUACAUAAAACUUUUAUUUCCACUUCG
Molecule: long non-coding RNA, 1157 nt
Organism: Tigriopus californicus
Lineage: Eukaryota; Metazoa; Arthropoda; Copepoda; Harpacticoida; Harpacticidae
Exons: 2
Source: RefSeq, a predicted model, not a curated record